GAUGAAGAACGUAGCGAAAUGCGAUACUUGGUGUGAAUUGCAGAAUCCCGUGAACCAUCGAGUCUUUGAACGCAAGUUGCGCCCGAAGCCACUAGGCCGAGGGCACGCCUGCCUGGGCGUCACACGCCGUUGCCCCCCCAUCUACUCCUUCGGGAUUGCGGGGGGGCGGAGGAUGGCCUCCCGUGCGCCUAGCCGCGCGGUUGGCAUAAAUACCAAGUCCUCGGCGACGCACGCCACGACAAUCGGUGGUUGCGAAACCUCGGUUGCCCGUCGUGUGCGUUCGUCGCGCAUCGAGGGCUCGAAAAAAUGCUCGGCUCCGGCUGGGCUUUCAACGCGACCCCAGGUCAGGCGGGGUUACCCGCUGAAUUUAAGCAUAUCAAUAAGCGGAGGA
RNAcentral lists this unclassified non-coding RNA (391 nucleotides) under soil metagenome. RNAcentral describes it as "partial contains 5.8S ribosomal RNA, internal transcribed spacer 2, and large subunit ribosomal RNA". The stretch from base 1 to 122 matches the Rfam family "5.8S ribosomal RNA", at positions 35 to 154 of the family's 154-position model. The record is from RNAcentral.